This 442-nucleotide ribosomal RNA is filed under the name uncultured bacterium. RNAcentral describes it as "partial 16S ribosomal RNA". It matches the Rfam family "Bacterial small subunit ribosomal RNA", at positions 338 to 795 of the family's 1533-position model. The record is from RNAcentral.
CCUACGGGCGGCUGCAGUGGGGAAUAUUGGUCAAUGGGCGAAAGCCUGACCCAGCAACGCCGCGUGAAGGACGAAGGCUUUUGGGUUGUAAACUUCUUUUGACAGGGAAGAGCAGAAGACGGUACCUGUCGAAUCAGCCACGGCUAACUACGUGCCAGCAGCCGCGGUAAUACGUAGGUGGCAAGCGUUGGCCGGAUUUACUGGGUGUAAAGGGCGUGUAGCCGGGCUGAAAAGUCAGAUUUGAAAUCCGGGGGCUCAACCACCGAACUGCAUUUGAGACUGUUGGUCUUGAGUAUCGGAGAGGCAGGCGGAAUUCCUAGUGUAGCGGUGAAAUGCAGAGAUAUUAGGAGGAACACUCGUGGCGAAGGCGGGUUCCUGGACAUUAACUGACGCUGAGGCACGAAGGCCAGGGGAGCGAAAGGGAUUAGAUACCCUUGUAGUC